RNAcentral lists this ribosomal RNA (1316 nucleotides) under uncultured bacterium. Its description in RNAcentral is "bacterial SSU rRNA". It matches the Rfam family "Bacterial small subunit ribosomal RNA", at positions 59 to 1398 of the family's 1533-position model. The record is from RNAcentral.
AAGACGAACGGCACCCCUCUCCGGAGGGAAGCGAGUGGCGAACGGCUGAGUAACACGUGGAGAACCUGCCCCCUCCCCCGGGAUAGCCGCCCGAAAGGACGGGUAAUACCGGAUACCCCGGGGCGCCGCAUGGCACCCCGGCUAAAGCCCCGACGGGAGGGGAUGGCUCCGCGGCCCAUCAGGUAGACGGCGGGGUGACGGCCCACCGUGCCGACAACGGGUAGCCGGGUUGAGAGACCGACCGGCCAGAUUGGGACUGAGACACGGCCCAGACUCCUACGGGAGGCAGCAGUGGGGAAUCUUGCGCAAUGGGGGGAACCCUGACGCAGCGACGCCGCGUGCGGGACGGAGGCCUUCGGGUCGUAAACCGCUUUCAGCAGGGAAGAGUCAAGACUGUACCUGCAGAAGAAGCCCCGGCUAACUACGUGCCAGCAGCCGCGGUAAUACGUAGGGGGCGAGCGUUAUCCGGAUUCAUUGGGCGUAAAGCGCGCGUAGGCGGCCCGGCAGGCCGGGGGUCGAAGCGGGGGGCUCAACCCCCCGAAGCCCCCGGAACCUCUGCGGCUUGGGUCCGGUAGGGGAGGGUGGAACACCCGGUGUAGCGGUGGAAUGCGCAGAUAUCGGGUGGAACACCGGUGGCGAAGGCGGCCCUCUGGGCCGAGACCGACGCUGAGGCGCGAAAGCUGGGGGAGCGAACAGGAUUAGAUACCCUGGUAGUCCCAGCCGUAAACGAGGGACGCUUAGGUGGGGGGGGAGGUUCCCCCCGUGCCGCAGCCAAAGCCAUAAAGCGUUCCCCCCGGGGGAGUACGCCCGCAAGGCUAAAACUCAAAGGAAUUGACGGGGGCCCGCACAAGCAGCGGAGCAUGUGGCUUAAUUGGAAGCAACGCGAAGACCCUUACCAGGGCUUGACAUAUGGGUGAAGCAGGGGAGACCCCGUGGCCGAGAGGAGCCCAUACAGGUGGUGCGUGGCUGUCGUCAGCUCGUGUCGUGAGAUGUUGGGUUAAGUCCCGCAACGAGCGCAACCCCCGCCGCGUGUUGCCAUCGGGUGAUGCCGGGAACCCACGCGGGACCGCCGCCGUCAAGGCGGAGGAGGGCGGGGACGACGUCAAGUCAUCAUGCCCCUUAUGCCCUGGGCUGCACACGUGCUACAAUGGCCGGUACAGAGGGAUGCCACCCCGCGAGGGGGAGCGGAUCCCGGAAAGCCGGCCCCAGUUCGGAUUGGGGGCUGCAACCCGCCCCCAUGAAGUCGGAGUUGCUAGUAAUCGCGGAUCAGCAUGCCGCGGUGAAUGCGUUCCCGGGCCUUGCACACACCGCCCGUC